CGAGUUACUGAGCUCCAGCAGGUCACCUGCUAGGCUGGGAGAAUGGACAGAAUGCAGGUUCCAGACCCAAGAAGGGGUUAGGCAGGGUCACAGGCUACUUCAUCUGCCUCCGUAUCUUUAUGCUAAGCACUGCACCCUCUGACAUUGGAGGGCAAGAAAAGAAAAGGUGUUACAAGGAGGAGGCUAGAACCUAUCCCAGGAGUAAUCUGAGAAUUGAGCCAGUGGUUGACAACCAUCCUAGGAAGUAUUUGGAAAUGUGUGGAGACAUGGUACGGUGGACACAAUGAUAGGGAGGGGCACUGUAGGUGGGAGCCAGAGAUGGUGAGCAUCCCAAAAGUGCAGAAGAUCCCAAAGCCAAGAGCAUCCACUGAGAUAUACUGAAGUCAGUUCCAUCUACCCCAGCUGCUCUGACCAUACCUGAACCACUGUACUCAGCACAAAGCCACAACAAAUGUGGAAGGCAGGGAAGAACCAAGAGUUGCAAGAAGAAAAAAAAUACAACAUGCCCAAAAGGUGGUGAUGAGGAAAAGGGGAAACUUAGAGGCAGAUUGGGGCCAAAAACCUAUAGACAACAGCUAGCAGGAUUUACCAAUGAGAACGGCAAGCAGCUUCUCAAAGAGGGAUGCCCCUGCCAACACGGAUGCUGAGCUGCAGCAGGAUGUCUUCAGCUGGAGGGCGCUCUUGAGCCCAUCAGCAGCCAAGGUCUACCUGUCCUACCUCCAAGCCUCUUGUGCUCGUCACUUCCUCUCCACUGCCACGAUGUGGCCACACCUCUCAUAGCUCAACUCAUCUCAUCCACCCCACGAUUCACCUUGGGUCUCUAGGGUCCCAGGUUUGCCAUUUACCACCACGGGCAAGGGUAAUCAAGUUUUUAAAAUGAAAAUAAAGGAUUGCUGAAUAAAUGAACAACCAGAGAGGCGGCCACCAGCCAAGGACAAACAAAGCUGAAUCUGGAACACUGGCUUCCUGCUGUCCUCUCAGACUAAACGCAGACAAAUAAACGUCACCUUACCUACCCACCAGUGUCUCAGCAAGGAAGGAGAGAGAGAAGGAAACGUCACCUUACCUACCCACCAGUGUCUCAGCAAGGAAGGAGAGAGAGAAGGAGGUGAAAGUGCACUGAAGACCUAAUACACAAUGUAUACUUAAGCGGGACUGUCAGGGGACAAAGAACCAGAGCCAGUGGACAAAACCUCCGUUCCCAAACUCCAAGCCACCAAUGGAAGGCCUCACAUAGGAAGCUGUGGGUGGAAGAUGGUGCGUUUCUACUGCCUGGUGGUUUUAGAUCUCUAUCGCCUACUCAGAAUCUGAACCCUAGCCUGUGUGUGUGAGAGGCUGCACGUGCACAUACAAAAACAGCAAGGUAUCUACAAGGGGGGUCAGGAUUGCAGAGGGGCUACCUGUGUGAGCUCUGGAGCCCAACUGCCUGCCUGGGAAUCCCAGCUUACCCACUGACUAGCUGUGUGACUCAGGGCAAGUUCUUUAACCACUCUGUGCCUCUGUCUGCACCUCACUCUCCUUGCCCCUAAAACAGGGGUAAGCAAAGUACCCACCUCCCAGGAUUUUUGUGAGGCUAAAAUGAGAUAACACCUAGCACACUUGCCAGACAAGAAAAGUUCUAUUUUUCCCCAGCACAAUGUUAAUAGGGUUGCCUCUGGGAUUUUGUGUGCUUUUCUUUUUCUUCUUCAUUAAUUAAAUUUUCUACAUGAAUGUGCAUGCUUUAUUGUCAGCAAAGAAUAAAGCUUUUUUUUUUUUUUUUUUUUUGAUGGGGUAGGAAGAACAGCUCAGAAUCCCAAGUAACCCUUUCUUUUAAACACAGAGGAUGGAAGCAGCCCUCUCUCUGCUGGUCUAUUUUAGGAUCUUCUGGAUGGGCAAGGAGUUCUACUGCCCAAAGCAGCCCAACCUUUUCUGCUCCCUGAUUCCCAGCGUACCCCUUCCCCACCUCUGCCCAUCCAGAAAAACUCAAAUCUCACCUCCUCCAAGAAGCCCUCGCUGCUAGCUCAGCACCUCUCUUCCUCCUGGGGAACAAGGCCUUUCCUCACUCUGCCCUCCCCUAGCUGGCACUAUCCACUCCAGAGGUCUUGUACCGGUCUCUGUUCCAGGGGCAAGGGGUUUGCCAAGACCCCAGCACAGCGGUCUUGAGGGGCAGGGCCACCUUCCUUCCUAUGUCCUUUCAAAGCACUCGCUCUGCUUUUCUUCUUGGAACUUCGAUACAACCUUAUGAGAGGUGGACAUGGGUUCAGGGAAGAAAAGUGAUGAGCAGGUCACACUGCUGGACUUAACCCCAGUCUGACCAAGUCCAUCAGGGCUCACUCUGCAGCCCCAGGCUGCUUCCCAUGGGAGGCUCACAGCAGGCACUCAGCUGACAGACCCUCACCCGCAGGGCAGCACUGCCCUGGCCCAUCAUACAUCUCUUCCUCCACCCUGUCCCCGCCAAUGCC
This 2441-nucleotide long non-coding RNA is filed under the name Homo sapiens (human). RNAcentral describes it as "HSALNT0358619". Lineage: Eukaryota; Metazoa; Chordata; Mammalia; Primates; Hominidae. The record is from RNAcentral.